CAAUAGCGUAUAUUUAAGUUGUUGCAGUUAAAAAGCUCGUAGUUGGAUUUCGGUUAAGAGCGACCGGUCCGCCGUUUGGUGUGCACUGGUUGGUUUUAACUUCCUGUAGAGGACGUGCUCUGGGUUUAACGACCUGGACUCGGAGUCCACGUGGUUACUUUGAAAAAAUUAGAGUGUUCAAAGCGGGCUUACGCUUGAAUAUUUCAGCAUGGAAUAACACUAUAGGACUCCUGUCCUAUUUCGUUGGUCUCGGGACGGGAGUAAUGAUUAAGAGGAACAGUUGGGGGCAUUCGUAUUUCAUUGUCAGAGGUGAAAUUCUUGGAUUUAUGAAAGACGAACUUCUGCGAAAGCAUUUGCCAAGGAUGUUUUCAUUAA
RNAcentral lists this ribosomal RNA (375 nucleotides) under uncultured eukaryote. RNAcentral's name for it is "partial 18S ribosomal RNA". It matches the Rfam family "Eukaryotic small subunit ribosomal RNA", at positions 592 to 976 of the family's 1831-position model. The record is from RNAcentral.